This 65-nucleotide transfer RNA is filed under the name Chamaeleo dilepis (flapneck chameleon). RNAcentral describes it as "tRNA-Lys". The record is from RNAcentral. Lineage: Eukaryota; Metazoa; Chordata; Lepidosauria; Squamata; Chamaeleonidae.
CAUUAAGAAGCUUGCACUAAGCAACAGCCCUUUAAUCUGUAGAAGGGGACUACCCCCCUUAAUGC